Molecule: ribosomal RNA, 475 nt
Filed under: uncultured bacterium
Lineage: Bacteria
Description: bacterial SSU rRNA
Rfam family: Bacterial small subunit ribosomal RNA
Source: RNAcentral
CUCUGUGACUCCUACGGGAGGCAGCAGUGGGGAAUAUUGCACAAUGGGCGCAAGCCUGAUGCAGCCAUGCCGCGUGUGUGAAGAAGGCCUUCGGGUUGUAAAGCACUUUCAGUUGUGAGGAAGGUGGUGUCGUUAAUAGCGGCAUCAUUUGACGUUAGCAACAGAAGAAGCACCGGCUAACUCCGUGCCAGCAGCCGCGGUAAUACGGAGGGUGCGAGCGUUAAUCGGAAUUACUGGGACGUAAAGCGCAUGCAGGUGGUUUGUUAAGUCAGAUGUGAAAGCCCGGGGCUCAACCUCGGAACUGCUAUUUAGAAACUGGCAGACUAGAGUACUGUAGAGGGGGUAGAAUUUCAGGUGUAGCGGUGAAAUGCGUAGAGAUCUGAAGGAAUACCAGUGGCGAAGGCGGCCCCCUGGACAAAGACUGACGCUCAGAUGCGAAAGCGUGGGGAGCAAACAGGAUUAGAUACCCUGGUAG